This is a non-coding RNA of Triticum aestivum (bread wheat), 135 nucleotides long. NCBI's taxonomy places the organism in Eukaryota, Viridiplantae, Streptophyta, Magnoliopsida, Poales, Poaceae. The record is from Rfam.
GUAGUAUUCCCUCCGUCCCAAAAUUCUUGUCUUACAUUUGUUUAGAUACGGAUGUAUCUAACACUAAAAUGUAACUAGAUACAUCCAUAUUUAGACAAAUUUAAGACAAGAAUUUUGGGACGGAGGGAGUACAAA